AAUAAGCUAUUUAAGAGCGUAUGGGGGAUGCCUAGGCUCUCAGAGGCGAAGAAGGACGUGAUAAGCUGCGAUAAGCUGCGGGGAUUGGCACACACAAUUUGAUCCGCAGAUUUCCGAAUGGGGAAACCCACUAUAUUGAAGAUAUAGUAUCCGUUAAGGAGGUAAACCCAGGGAACUGAAACAUCUAAGUACCUGGAGGAAAAGAAAACAAAAGUGAUUCCGUUAGUAGUGGCGAGCGAACGCGGAUUAGCCCAAACCAAAGUUGUUUCGGCAAUUUUGGGGUUGUAGGACCACGACAUUGAAUGUUUAAUGAAUUA
This 317-nucleotide ribosomal RNA is filed under the name uncultured Flavobacteriaceae bacterium. RNAcentral describes it as "bacterial LSU rRNA". It matches the Rfam family "Bacterial large subunit ribosomal RNA", at positions 1 to 332 of the family's 2925-position model. Lineage: Bacteria; Pseudomonadati; Bacteroidota; Flavobacteriia; Flavobacteriales; Flavobacteriaceae. The record is from RNAcentral.